CACGUAGGGCGCAAGCGUUGUCCGGAAUGAUUGGGCGUAAAGAGCUCGUAGGCGGUCUGUUGCGUCCGCUGUGAAAACUCGGGGCUUAACCCCGAGCCUGCAGUGGAUACGGGCAGACUAGAGGUAGGUAGGGGAGAAUGGAAUUCCCGGUGUAGCGGUGAAAUGCGCAGAUAUCGGGAGGAACACCGGUGGCGAAGGCAGAUCUCUGGGCCGUAACUGACGCUGAGACGCGAAAGCGUGGGGAGCAAACAGG
RNAcentral lists this ribosomal RNA (253 nucleotides) under uncultured bacterium. Its description in RNAcentral is "partial 16S ribosomal RNA". It matches the Rfam family "Bacterial small subunit ribosomal RNA", at positions 524 to 776 of the family's 1533-position model. The record is from RNAcentral.